This is a long non-coding RNA of Cydia strobilella, 625 nucleotides long. RefSeq lists it as uncharacterized. Lineage: Eukaryota; Metazoa; Arthropoda; Insecta; Lepidoptera; Tortricidae. The transcript has 3 exons. The record is from RefSeq and is a predicted model, not a curated record.
UUCCCCAUGCGCUGACCGUGAGGCUCGCGAUGUGUGUGAUCGUGUAAGCGAUGUCCCGCUCGCAUCCCGGAGCGGCGUGCGGACCCGCGUCCAAUGUGAAGAUCGCCCACGUCGCCUGCACGCUCUGCUCUGCACUCGACACCAUGCUGACAGCUCUGAAACAGCUCGCAAUGCACGCAGUGAUGUGCCGUCCGCAUCCCGGAGCGGCGUGCGGGGCCGGUAUCUAGUGUGAAGAUCGCCUUCGUCGCUUGCGUGCUCUGUUCUGCCGUCGUCCCCGUGCUAUCAGGAAAUCUACAGAGAGGAGUCGAAAAUGCAGAAAUGACAGCUCGCACACAAAUGCCUAAAGCUCUGAAGCUUGUAAGCUGCUUAGAAAGUCGCCCAAAACAUAUUGGCAUAGAGUUAUGGAGCCCGUCUGCAAAAAGGUAAGAAACUUGUGAUAUUAACUUCUAAUAUUUUCACAUCUUUAUUUGAUUCAGAUAUUUCUAUUUAGAUGUAACUGCCAGUAGAGAGGUGAUGUCUCAUUAGAUGUAACCCAAUGAAAGAUUUCUCUCAUUAGAACUCCUAUAUGACUAGUGCUGCAGACUGUUAUGGGAUGCCUGCAAUUUUUAAUUAUAAACCGACACAU